UGGGGAAUAUUGCACAAUGGGGGAAACCCUGAUGCAGCAACGCCGCGUGAGUGAUGACGGCCUUCGGGUUGUAAAGCUCUGUCUUCAGGGACGAUAAUGACGGUACCUGAGGAGGAAGCCACGGCUAACUACGUGCCAGCAGCCGCGGUAAUACGUAGGUGGCAAGCGUUGUCCGGAUUUACUGGGCGUAAAGGGAGCGUAGGCGGACUUUUAAGUGAGAUGUGAAAUACCCGGGCUCAACCUGGGUGCUGCAUUUCAAACUGGAAGUCUAGAGUGCAGGAGAGGAGAGUGGAAUUCCUAGUGUAGCGGUGAAAUGCGUAGAGAUUAGGAAGAACACCAGGGGCGAAGGCGACUCUCUGGACUGUAACUGACGCUGAGGCUCGAAAGCGUGGGGAGCAAACA
This 402-nucleotide ribosomal RNA is filed under the name uncultured bacterium. RNAcentral describes it as "bacterial SSU rRNA". It matches the Rfam family "Bacterial small subunit ribosomal RNA", at positions 355 to 774 of the family's 1533-position model. The record is from RNAcentral.